AGGGGGUACAGGUUAGUAAUGAGACUAUAUACAGGGGGUACAGGUUAGUAAUGAGACUAUAUACAGGGGGUACAGGUUAGUAAUGAGACUAUAUACAGGGGUACAGGUUAGUAAUGAGACUAUAUACAGGGGGUACAGGUUAGUAAUGAGACUAUAUACAGGGGGUACAGGUUAGUAAUGAGACUAUAUACAGGGGUUACAGGUUAGUAAUGAGACUAUAUACAGGGGUACAGGUUAGUAAUGAGACUAUAUACAGGGGUACAGGUUAGUAAUGAGACUAUAUACAGGGGGUACAGGUUAGUAAUGAGACUAUAUACAGGGGGUACAGGUUAGUAAUGAGACUAUAUACAGGGGGUACCGGUUAGUAAUGAGACUAUAUACAGGGGGUACAGGUUAGUAAUGAGACUAUAUACAGGGGGUACAGGUUAGUAAUGAGACUAUAUACAGGGGGUACAGGUUAGUAAUGAGACUAUAUACAGGGGGUACAGGUUAGUAAUGAGACUAUAUACAGUGGGUACAGGUUAGUAAUGAGACUAUAUACAGGGGGUACCGGUACCGAGUCAGUGUGCAGGGCUACAGGUUAGUAAUGAGACUAUAUACAGGGGGUACCGGUACCGAGUCAGUGUGCAGGGCUAUAGGUUAGUAAUGAGACUAUAUACAGGGGUACAGGUUAGUAAUGAGACUAUAUACAGGGGGUACAGGUUAGUAAUGAGACUAUAUACAGGGGUACAGGUUAGUAAUGAGACUAUAUACAGGGGGUACAGGUUAGUAAUGAGACUAUAUACAGGGGGUACAGGUUAGUAAUGAGGCUAUAUACAGGGGGUACAGGUUAGUAAUGAGGUUAUAUACAGGGGGUACAGGUUAGUAAUGAGACUAUAUACACGGGGUACAGGUUAGUAAUGAGACUAUAUACAGGGGGUACAGGUUAGUAAUGAGACUAUAUACAGGGGGUACAGGUUAGUAAUGAGACUAUAUACAGGGGGUACCGGUACAGAGUCAAUGUGUGGGGGUACAGGUUAGUAAUGAGGCUAUAUACAGGGGGUACCGGUACCGAGUCAAUGUGUGGGGGUACAGGUUAGUAAUGAGACUAUAUACAGGGGGUACCGGUACAGAGUCAAUGUGCGGGGGUACAGGUUAGUAAUGAGGCUAUAUACAAGGGGUACCGGUACCGAGUCAAUGUGUGGGGGUACAGGUUAGUAAUGAGACUAUAUACAGGGGGUACCGGUACAGAGUCAAUGUGCGGGGGUACAGGUUAGUAAUGAGGCUAUAUACAGGGGGUACAGGUUAGUAAUGAGACUAUAUACAGGGGGUACCGGUACCGAGUCAAUGUGUGGGGGUACAG
Long non-coding RNA from Oncorhynchus tshawytscha (Chinook salmon), 1342 nucleotides. The record is from Ensembl. Lineage: Eukaryota; Metazoa; Chordata; Actinopteri; Salmoniformes; Salmonidae.